CCUACGGGUGGCAGCAGUAGGGAAUAUUGCUCAAUGGGGGAAACCCUGAAGCAGCAACGCCGCGUGAAGGAUGAAGGUUUUCGGAUUGUAAACUCCUUUUGUUAGAGAAGAUAAUGACGGUAUCUAACGAAUAAGCACCGUCUAACUCCGUCCCCGCAGCCGCGGUAAUACGGAGGGGGCAAGCGUUACUCGGAAUCCCUGGGCGUAAAGAGCGCGUAGGCGGGAUAGCAAGUCAGAUGUUAAAUCCUAGCGCUUAAACAUAGAACUGCAUUUGAAACUGUUAUUCUAGAGUAUGGGAGAGGUAGGUGGAAGUCGUGGUGUAGGGGUAAAAUGCGUAGAGAUCAAGAGGAAUACUGAGUGCGAAGGCGAC
RNAcentral lists this ribosomal RNA (370 nucleotides) under uncultured bacterium. Its description in RNAcentral is "partial 16S ribosomal RNA". It matches the Rfam family "Bacterial small subunit ribosomal RNA", at positions 338 to 725 of the family's 1533-position model. The record is from RNAcentral.